Molecule: long non-coding RNA, 1068 nt
Filed under: Medicago truncatula (barrel medic)
Lineage: Eukaryota; Viridiplantae; Streptophyta; Magnoliopsida; Fabales; Fabaceae
Description: lncRNA gene48847
Source: RNAcentral
CCUGCUAGAAGAAAAUGGAGGAAAAGUGAAACUCUUCAGUUUUUGGGUUUCCCUUUCUGAUCUGAAUAGAGCUGCAAGCUGCUACCAUCAAAAACAGAUGAAAUCAGAUGGUGUUGAAUCUGGUGAUGGUGAUGAUGAUUAUUCUCCAUUGUAGGAGCAGCUGAAGGUGAAGCUGAAGCAGGAGAAGAAGAAGCAGAAGCACCUCCUCCACCUCCUCCCAUGAAAAAAGGUAGAUUGUUGGAUCCAUCUAAAGGUGAAACUGCAAACCUUUGAAGAUGAGACAAAAGAGACGGUGAAUUGGACUGAAGGGUCCCCCUAUUAUAACCAGCAAGGCCCGAAGAGAUUGUGAAAUUCAGAUUAUAAUCAUUGUUGUUCCCGCUUGGUUGAGUAGAAGAAGAAGUAACCACAUUUUGCAUCAUAUGAUCUGGUAUGAAUGAAAAUGGAUGCUGCAAAUGAUGCUGAUGCUGAUCUUGAGAAUGAUUCUCACCACUAGUACUGAAUGGUGAAACUGAAUUAGACAUUGUCAUUGAUUGAUGAUCAUGAAGUGAAUGUCCUAAUAGAUGAUGAUGAUGAUGUGCCCUUGAUGAUGAAGAUCCUGGAAAUACUUGACUAAAGUAAUGAUCCAUUGGUGCUGAAGAAUUCCAUUGCUGCUGCUGCUGCUGUUGCUGUCUAGCUUUGUUGAAAAAACUAGGUUCUUCAGCUGACCCUCUUGGACUAUUUGUGGUAGUAACAGUAUUGUUGAUUCCACAAGUAAGUAGUUCAGUGAAUGAAGCUGUUUGAGAAAUGGAAGAGGUCACAUUGUUGUGAUGCUGUUGAUGAGUAUUGUGAGAUUCAUGAUUAAUCUCUUUGUCCUUCUCCUUAGCAGUUCUUUCUCUUGCUCUUUCUCUAGCUUUGACACGGCUCACACGAACAUCAGAUCUUGAAAGAGACAAACCAGAACCUUUACUUGUCUCAGAAGUGCUACUACAACCAGAUUUAGACAAAGAAAGAUUCUGACUUUGAUAAUUGUUUUCACCAUUCUCAACAACCAUUUCAGAAUCAUGAACUGAAUCAACACCUUGUUCACUU